Molecule: long non-coding RNA, 515 nt
Organism: Carica papaya (papaya)
Lineage: Eukaryota; Viridiplantae; Streptophyta; Magnoliopsida; Brassicales; Caricaceae
Source: RefSeq, a predicted model, not a curated record
AAAAAAUUUGCAGAUGAUUGAGGAAGAAAGAUAUGCUGCAGCUGUGGAAUUGAGGAGACAGUAGGGAAAUGACAGCACUUCAACUGUGUCGACUGCCACUCUCACCUGCUGCAACCCAAUCCUCCUCCUUUGGUCACACCCUUUCAUGUUCAUUUCUAGCUCUAGUGACAAAACCCUAUUCACAAUUCAAAGGAGGAAAACCAGAGGAAAAACUGUACGGAUCCGAAAGGAGGAUCUUACAGAAACGCAACUACCCACCUCCUCACCUGCCCAAAAUCAACAGCAGCAAGAACCUGACCUCCAAAAAGAGAAAAGGCUUGUAUCUCGCAACUGAUACAGUACCAGUCCAUGGACCCAACUUUAUUCACAGACACUGCCAUAGCAAUGGCAAAAUUAUCCCAUCCCAGAAUUUGGUGGGAGAAAUGUGGACAUAGCUUUCCUGAACUGCAGAAGCAACCGAUUCAAAUAUUGAGCUAGGGUUGUAAGCCCGUUUGCUGCCAUAAAUUGGAUGAUAA